Molecule: long non-coding RNA, 462 nt
Filed under: Jatropha curcas
Lineage: Eukaryota; Viridiplantae; Streptophyta; Magnoliopsida; Malpighiales; Euphorbiaceae
Description: long non-coding RNA (JCUR_LNC001817)
Source: RNAcentral
UCAUCAUAAAUGAUGAACAAAUAUGAUCAUCACAAUCCAAAUCUGGCUUUUUGUUUUUGGUAAGGGCCAUAAUGAGUUAAAAACACUAUUAUUAGUAUUAAUGCUUAGUGUUAGACUCAAAAAGGACCUGUAAGAAUUGAUUAAAGCACAUAAAUAACAAAAUCUAGCUCGCUGGAUUGAAGCCACGUGCGCCAUAACUCUUGUGGCGUGCGAGCUUUCCUAGACUAGAGCCCAUAAAAAAAAUACAAACUGUACUAUGUGGAUAAUAAGAUAGUGGCAUGCGCCAUAAUGUAUGGCGUGCGCCGUUGGGUUGUGGCGUGUGCCGCUACACACAUAGACAACACCUUAUAGUUCGUCAUGGGAUUCCCUCACAACCAAGAAGAAGUAGGUGGUUUUAACCAUUAAAGAAAUGCAAAAGAAGAUGAAAUAGAUAAGGACUCUCAGAUAUUACUUGAAUGUGAG